CCUAGGGGAGGCAGCAGUGAGGAAUAUUGGUCAAUGGUCGGGAGACUGAACCAGCCAAGCCGCGUGAGGGAUGAAGGUACAGAGUAUCGUAAACCUCUUUUGUCAGGGAACAAAGGCGGGGUCGCGUCCCCGGAUGAGUGUACCUGAAGAAAAAGCAUCGGCUAACUCCGUGCCAGCAGCCGUGGUAAUACGGGGGAUGUGAGCGUUAUCCGGAUGUGUUGGGGUUAAAGGGUGCGCGGGGGGUCUGUUAAGUCAGGCGGUAAAACCCGGGGCCUACCCCCCGGCCCGCCGUUGAAACUGGCAGACUCGAGUUGGAGAGAGGUAUGCGGAAUGCGCGGUGUAGCGGUGAAAUGCAUAGAUAUCGCGAAGAACUGCGAUGGCGAAGGCAGCAUGCCGGCUCCACACUGACGCUGAGGCACGAAAGCGUGGGUAUCGAACAGGAUUAGAUACCCCUGUAGUC
Molecule: ribosomal RNA, 460 nt
Filed under: uncultured bacterium
Lineage: Bacteria
Description: partial 16S ribosomal RNA
Rfam family: Bacterial small subunit ribosomal RNA
Source: RNAcentral